GAUACCUGGACAACACGUGGAAGGUCCCUCUUCGUGCACAGGAGGGGGAAGGCUCAGGCCAGGUGAUCCAGCGUGUCCGUCGCUCCUGGCUGGCGGACUACCUGGGCGACGUGUGGUUUCACUUCUCGGAGAGCUUCCCCAUCGCCGUCCUGUACAUCUUCCCCGUCACCGUGCUGAUCCUGCUCUUCCUCUGCUGCUUCACGUACGUGUGCACGUUGCACACCCCCUGGUGCUCCCGUUCUCAGUGCCCGCUGUCCCAGUACAAGGCAGCAGGGAGGAGCUGCUCCUUGGGCUCCUCGUGUUUUUUAGGGUAGGUAUGGAGUGAGGCGACCUGGAGGACUCUGAGAGAAGCAGCGUGGCUACACUGAGAGAGAUUCUGGUGCCUCGAUGGAGCUCAGCUCAGAGAAGCCUCCGAAACUCCAGGAGCCCCGAAGCGGUGUGGAAGGGCCAGGAGCAGAACCACCUUUCUCUUCCUUUCAGAUGAUUUUAAAGAUUCUCCCGGACAGAAUCUGCCACCCCCAAAUGAAGUUCAGACUUCACCUGAGGCUCUGCUGUCUGAGUUACGGCCAGAACGCAAGAGGUUCAUUGGGGUUCGUAGAAUCGUUAGGGUUGGAAAAGACCCCUCAGAUCCCCAAGUCCAACCCCAGCCCGUCCCACCGUGCCCACCGCAUCCCCACUGUUCUGGAGCACCUCCAGAGAUGAUGACCCCACUGCCCCCCGUGCAGCUGUGCCAAGGCAUCACUGCUCUUUCAGAGAAGCUUUCCCUGAUAUCCAACCUGAACCUCCCCCGGUGCAUCCUGAGGCCGUCACCUCUCAUCCUACUGCUGUUACUCGGGAGAAGAGGCCGACCCUCACCUCACUACAAGCUCAUUUCUGGGAGCUGGAGAGAGCAAAGCAUAGAAUCACAGAAUUGCUCAGGUUGGAAAAGACCUUCGAGAUCAUUGAGUCCAAGCUCAACCCAACCAUACCACCCUAACCCGAACAACCCGCUGCUAAAUGAUGUCCCUGAGCACCACAUCCAGAUGGUUUGCAUCCAGAAGAUCCAGGUUAAUGCCCUGUUGGCCUUUGCAUGUGGUGCAAACGGGGAGUUUAACUCGUAUUUAAGGCUCUGGAGGCCUUUGGUUUGGGCAGCAGUUGAAUCCGAGGUUUCAUGGCAGUAGCGGUGUUCGAUGCUUUGUUAGGGCAAUCAUUUCACGUGGCUGGAGGAAUUUUGGGGCAGUGUAAUUGCUGGGCGGUGUGUGAGGUGGAAGAACAGCCAAAGAGGGACGGCACUGUGCUGACUGCGGCUGCUGGCUCACCUCCCGCUUGGUAAGCCCACGGAUAACGACUCAUCUGGGGCACAACCCUCAGGCCCGCGCGCCCCUCGAGGCCGCCGCGCAGGCCGCCCC
Long non-coding RNA from Gallus gallus (chicken), 1388 nucleotides. The record is from Ensembl. NCBI's taxonomy places the organism in Eukaryota, Metazoa, Chordata, Aves, Galliformes, Phasianidae.